RNAcentral lists this ribosomal RNA (501 nucleotides) under uncultured bacterium. Its description in RNAcentral is "partial 16S ribosomal RNA". It matches the Rfam family "Bacterial small subunit ribosomal RNA", at positions 30 to 523 of the family's 1533-position model. The record is from RNAcentral.
AUUGAACGCUGGCGGCAGGCUUAACACAUGCAAGUCGAGCGGGGGAAGGUAGCUUGCUACCGGACCUAGCGGCGGACGGGUGAGUAAUGCUUAGGAAUCCGCCUAUUAGUGGGGGACAACAUCUCGAAAGGGAUGCUAAUACCGCAUACGUCCUACGGGAGAAAGCAGGGGAUCUUCGGACCUUGAGCUAAUAGAUGAGCCUAAGCAGGAUUAGCUAGUUGGUUGGGUAAAGGCCUACAAAGGCGACGAUCUGUAGCGGGUCUGAGAGGAUGAUCCGCCACACUGGGACUGAGACACGGCCCAGACUCCUACGGGAGGCAGCAGUGGGGAACAUUGGACAAUGGGGGGAACCCUGAUCCAGCCAUGCCGCGUGUGUGAGGAAGGCCUUAUGGUUGUAAAGCACUUUAAGCGAGGAGGAGGCUACUUUAGUUAAUACCUAGAGAUAGUGGACGUUACUCGCAGAAUAAGCACCGGCUAACUCUGUGCCAGCCGCCGCCGUAA